Rattus norvegicus (Norway rat) is the source of this 658-nucleotide long non-coding RNA. The record is from Ensembl. Lineage: Eukaryota; Metazoa; Chordata; Mammalia; Rodentia; Muridae.
CAACCAGUCCCACAAGGCUUUGCGUUCAUGCGAGUAGAGGAUUACUCUAAUGUGAAAAUCAUAGGGAUGUGUAGAAGGAUGCGCAAGUAGAGAACGGAAAAGAUUUCUAUCUCAGGAAUGUCUUUUGGCAGUAUUUAGGAGGAGGAGUGGGAAGCAGGCCAAACUGAGGAAAGCCAUGCUACUGCUCUAUGCCAGGGAACGGUGAUGGAGACAUACGGCGGAAGUACUGAGUGAAGCCUUCGGUUUUGAGCUAGAGCUUCAGGAUAGAGACACUAAGGCCUCUUCGGUGUGUGAAACGUCUACGUGCACACAAUCAGCAUUAGAGAGGAAAAAAUAUCCUUGCCUGAAGUAUGCAUUUUCUUCUAUUUCUAACACAUGCAAACCCAAUGCAGGUGCUGGCAAGCUGUUUGCCGGGGGCUCUGACAAUGAUGUAAGGAAGACCAGGGCCAACCGACCACCAUCUCCAAAGAGCGGUGCGGACCAUGUGUGGUGUGAACACUGCCUGUUUGUCCUUGCUGCAGUCCCAGUUAGCUGUGUGCUAACUGCACGAAUAAAGAACACUUCUGUGGAGCAACCUAACAUGUCUGUUUUCCAGAUUUCUGAAGAAAAAAAAAGCUUGAGACAUUCUAAUCUUAGCCAACAUUCUCGCUCAGCAUUG